Long non-coding RNA from Sorghum bicolor (sorghum), 310 nucleotides. RefSeq lists it as uncharacterized. The record is from RefSeq and is a predicted model, not a curated record. NCBI's taxonomy places the organism in Eukaryota, Viridiplantae, Streptophyta, Magnoliopsida, Poales, Poaceae. The transcript has 3 exons.
CCCUGCUCCAGGCAGCAGUGAGAUCUGGCGAGGUGGCUCGGGCAGAUCUGACGAGGUGGCGUGGUGCAGAAUAGUUCCAAUUUUCAAUGGGAUGGGAGGACCUGAAGGGGUAGUAUCCAGCGUAAUUUCAAUGGUAUGCAACCAGAAAAUGUACAACUUGGGCCAAAACAUAGUGUGGUGGGAGGGCUUGACAUUGGAGUUAGUAAUGCACCUACUUUGGAAACUAUUAUUGAAUUGUGUGUUGUGAUGUAUGGACUUCAUGUAAGGAUGAAUGAUAAUUGAACUUGUAAUAUUCUUAUGGAUAUGUUAA